CUCGCGUGUCGUGUCAGCCGCCGCGGUAAUACGGAGGGUGCAAGCGUUAAUCGGAAUUACUGGGCGUAAAGGGUGCGUAGGUGGUCUGAUAAGUUAUCUGUGAAAUCCCUGGGCUCAACCUGGGCAGGUCAGAUAAUACUGUUGGACUCGAGUAUGGGAGAGGGUAGUGGAAUUUCCGGUGUAGCGGUGAAAUGCGUAGAGAUCGGAAGGAACACCAGUGGCGAAGGCGGCUACCUGGCCUAAUACUGACACUGAGGCACGAAAGCGUGGGGAGCAAACAGGAUUAGAUACCCUGGUAGUCCACGCCGUAAACGAUGUCAACUAGCUGUUGGAUAUAUGAAUAUAUUUAGUGGCGCAGCAAACGCGAUAAGUUGACCGCCUGGGGAGUACGGUCGCAAGAUUAAAACUCAAAUGAAUUGACGGG
This 424-nucleotide ribosomal RNA is filed under the name uncultured bacterium. RNAcentral's name for it is "bacterial SSU rRNA". It matches the Rfam family "Bacterial small subunit ribosomal RNA", at positions 493 to 917 of the family's 1533-position model. The record is from RNAcentral.